Molecule: non-coding RNA, 229 nt
Filed under: Bacillus methanolicus
Lineage: Bacteria; Bacillati; Bacillota; Bacilli; Caryophanales; Bacillaceae
Description: T-box sequence
Rfam family: T-box leader
About the family: Uncharged tRNA acts as the effector for transcription antitermination of genes in the T-box leader family. T-boxes are found upstream of many aminoacyl-tRNA synthetase genes and some amino acid biosynthetic genes usually in Gram-positive bacteria.
Source: RNAcentral
GAACUUGCAAAGACAGGGAAGAGUACGAAGAAAACAGCUUUAAGAGAGGGAAGCCAAUAGCUGAGAGGUUUCCUAAGCGGGUGCUUCGGAAGGUCGCCCUUGAGCAUCUUCUGCGAACGGAUUUUUCUUAGUAGUGGAAGACGGGAAAACCGUUAUCUUAUUAAGUGCCAAUCAAAAGUUUGAUUGGAAAAAAGGUGGUACCGCGAAAUUCACUCUAUUCGUCCUUUUA